CGGAGUUUGACAGAGGAGGUGGAGGAGGAGGAAGAGGAGGAGGAGGAGGAGGAAGAGGAGCUGCAGAUCCCCAGUUGGGACAGAUUGAAGUUAGCCUUUAUCACUGAGGGCUGUUAUUGGCCCAGGACCUCUCCAGGUGUUGGGGGCCCAUCUGUGAACAGGUAGAACCUGAACUCUGCCCAUAUGGAGCUCUCCUUCCGGUGGGGGUGGCAAACAGGUAAGAAGCAAGGGACAUAGGCAGAGAGGAACUGGCCCUUGGACCACUCUGAACCCGGACUUGGAGGUCAGAGGAUGGUGAAUAGUGAGAUUUUACGGUAUGUCCUGGGACACCUCCUAUGAAUAACCCACCCACCUACCACCUUUGCCUUCCCUCCUGGGCAACUACCAGGAAAGAGUCGUUCCACUGAUAUCUUUCAUAAUAGUUCUUCUGGGCUGUAGGAAACUUAACUUUCUCCAUCCAACUUGUCAGCCACAAUGUGCCAUUGUCACCAUUUGCAAAGUGCUGUUUAAUCACUGUCUACAUUGCCACGUGCUUCUCCACCUCACAAGUCUAGCAUGGGUUGCUAAGUCACCUGCCCUAAAAUGACCUCCACCUGUGAUCAGCCUCACCUAAUCCCAGCCUAGUCCUCUGGCAACUGAGGCAGAGAAAAUCCCAUUUCACCAUUGACAAUAUCAGCAAAAGAUUAUGAAUUCUAAUUAUUCAGUAAACCUUUACGGGGCACUGUGCUAGGGACCCUUGCCUAUUGUGCAAAACCCCAGGAACCACACAAUUAUGGGGUCAGGAGAUACAGACUUAAGGCCUGAACAGAAGGAGGACAGGGGCUUCAGGGAGCUCACUGUGAUUACAUCUCCUCUAGAAGCCCCAGGUCCAUUGAGCUAGUGUUUGCCUUACACUCAGGCCAUUCCUUGACAAACACCCCCUGUGCGCUUCAGGUGUACCAGGCAUCGCCCCAAGAACAGGACACAGCAAUGCAUAAGGCAGGGCCUUGUCCUCCAAAAGUUUCUAUCAUAAUGGCAUCCAAAUGCUGGCCACAAGGAAAGUGGGAGCUUGGCAG
Molecule: long non-coding RNA, 1055 nt
Filed under: Heterocephalus glaber (naked mole-rat)
Lineage: Eukaryota; Metazoa; Chordata; Mammalia; Rodentia; Bathyergidae
Description: lncRNA (ENSHGLG00100046992.1)
Source: RNAcentral